RNAcentral lists this transfer RNA (73 nucleotides) under Megalops atlanticus (tarpon). It matches the Rfam family "tRNA". Rfam says of the family: Transfer RNA (tRNA) molecules are approximately 80 nucleotides in length. Their secondary structure includes four short double-helical elements and three loops (D, anti-codon, and T loops). Lineage: Eukaryota; Metazoa; Chordata; Actinopteri; Elopiformes; Megalopidae. The record is from Rfam by way of RNAcentral.
GACCCACUGGCCUAAUGGAUAAGGCAUUUGUCUCCAGAGCUGGGGAUUGUGGGUUCAAGUCCCAUCUGGGUUG